CCUACGGGAGGCAGCAGUGGGGAAUAUUGGGCAAUGGGCGCAAGCCUGACCCAGCAACGCCGCGUGAAGGAAGAAGGCUUUCUGGUUGUAAACUUCUUUUAUGAGGGACGAAACAAAUGACGGUACCUCAUGAAUAAGCCACGGCUAACUACGUGCCAGCAGCCGCGGUCAUACGUAGGUGGCAAGCGUUAUUCGGAUUUACUGGGUGUAAAGGGCGUGUAGGCGGGACUGCACGUCCGAUGUGAAAAUUAUGGGCUCAACCCAUCACCUGCAUUUGAAACUGUAGUUCUUGAGUGAUGGAGAGGCAGGCGGAAUGCCGUGUGUAGCGGUGAAAUGCGUAGAGAUACGGAGGAACACCAGUGGCGAAGGCGGCCUACUGGACAGUAACUGACGCUGAGGCACGAAAGCGUGGGGAGCAAACAGGAUUAGAUACCCGAGUAGUC
This 443-nucleotide ribosomal RNA is filed under the name uncultured bacterium. RNAcentral describes it as "partial 16S ribosomal RNA". It matches the Rfam family "Bacterial small subunit ribosomal RNA", at positions 338 to 795 of the family's 1533-position model. The record is from RNAcentral.